AUGUAGCGGACUCUGGGGAGCCCAGGAGAUGGAGAGGAGGACACGGGCUGGAGUGUGCAGGCGGAACCUCCAGUCGGUCAAUCGGUCUCUCGGAUCUCAGCUUCCCAUCUGCCGGAAGAGGAUGCCAGGGACUGCCACCACUACGUGGUUAACACGGCACAUGAAGUUCCAGGCAUGUGGCAGACACUUCAAAGAUGGUGGCUGGGAUUUCCAGUUAGGAGAGGUAUGUCAGGAAGCAAUGUCCCAGGAGCAUCCCCACGUGUCCCCCAGGGUCAGGGCUUUCUGAGCACAGAUUUCCGCUCCCAGGAUAAAGGAAGACUGACUUCAAACAAGCCUGGGGAGUUAGAGAUAGAGACCUGUGGAGACUGAGAGACCUCUGUCCCCAGACCCUGUUUACCUCCCAGGGUCAGUAAACUUGGCACUCCCCCUGACCCCUGCCCCUCUCCAGCUGUUGUUUCAACUCAGGACAAAGCCUGGGAGGGAGGGCGGGUGGCCGCCCUCUCGAACCAUCAUGAUGUCAGGCAUCCCUGCUACGGGCCCCUGUGCUCACAGGGGCGCAGGCUCAGCACACCGCCCUGCGAGGAAUGGGGUGCGGGGAGCCAGCACUAAGAGCACUGUGUGAAGGAGUAACGGGUCUGUUCUCUGAGCCAGAAACCUUGUGUUUUCUGUCAGCAUAAAUCAAUAUGGAUGAAAAACAAAGUGAGUUAAGAACCUGCCAGAGAGCUUUCCUAUCCAGGUCUACCCCUAAAUAUUUACACAAAUUUUCACCUAAAUAAGAAAUGAAUACAGAAACAAGCCUCUCCCAGGGACUAAUCCAGCGGAUAGUUACGGAGAUACGCGCUGCACCAGGCCCUGCAUUCGACACUGGUACACAGCAAGCAAGCCGCCAAGGACCCUGCCUUCCCGGAGUUUACACUCUGGCAGGGGAGACGGUCAACACACACAUAAAUAGCGAGCCAUCUCAGAGAGUCUUAAACGCUAUGGAGAAAAAUAAACCAAGUGACAGGAGGCUGUUGGUCUGACUGGGUGCAGGACGGCCUCUGAGAGGGUCACAUUCGGCUGAGAUCUGAACGGAAUAUGAAAGUCCCUGGGAAAACAGGAAGGGGUCAGCCAGGCUGUGUGGACUGGACCAAAGUGCAGUGUAUGAACAUUAAGUGUGUAUGAAGAUCAGAGAGUUAACAAACAUGCUUCUCCUUCCACUGUAACGAAGCCGGGGCUGAGAACCAGUCCUGCCCCCACAUCUCCAGGGCAGUGACAACACCGUUGCCCACGUGGCUGAGAGAAUUGCACCCCGAGGUCUGGAGUUACCAGCAAACCCCAAUGCAGCGCACCUGGAGUCGCGUGGUCACCCAGCUCCUGAGGAUCUGAAGCUGCCCAAGAUCCGCCUUGCACGGUCACAGGGUGCAACGGUCAGGAACGAAGCCAAGAGGUGCCACUCAAGCCUCCCCUGCUGCGGAGCUCAGAGACAGGCACUCCUCCCGCUGUGCGGUGGGCUCUGGGCUCCAGCCCUUGAAGCUGGGCUGGUCUUACUAAGAAUGAACAGCAUCAGGUGGAAGCUCAUUCUGGGGCCUCUGAGGCUGGGCCACAAGAAGCCUACUGGCCUCCACCCCAACUACCACCAGCACCCUUGGGCUCCCUGGGAUGCCUGGACGCCCACCUUGUAAAAGGCUGACUAACCUGAGGCCGCCUGGGCUGUGAGGAAGCCCGGGCCAGCCACAUGAAGAGGCUGCAUGCAGAGAGAUGCCUGACCGGCCCCGGCUGCUCCAAGCAUCUCUUUCCAGGCACCGGGAAUGGGGAGAAGGAUCCACCCUGGACUCAGGGGAGCCCAACCGGAUGCAAGAGGGAGAAGAGCCCAGGAGCCAAGCUGACACCAAACUGAGACACAGUCGUAGGGCCCGGAGGGGCAAGCCCUCCGCCUCCAGCUGCUCCAGCCGUGCUGGCCAAGGCCCAGGUCAGCACGAGCGCGGUCGAGCCCUCCCUGCUGUGCCCUGCCUGAAAUCCUGACCCACGAACUCAGGAGUGUGAUAAAAUCAUCAUUUUAUGUCAUGAAAAAGUCACGGAGCUGCAACAGAUAACUGGGGCACCAGAGGUAUGGCAAACUGGGCUUUUGCCAACUCCUGAUUACCACGGGACCAGGACCCAAAGCUGGCAGCAAUCACAGGAGAACAAGAUAGCCCCACACCUACAUGCGAAACAUACGUGCACACCCACUGUGUCCUGCCGCUCCCACCAUUACUCCCACAGCCACGACGGUGAUGACAGCCACUACCGUUAAUACUAAGGACUGUAAGCGCCCAAGUAACGGCCUGUGGGGUGCCCCGCAGGGUGCUGAGCAUGCGUGUGGACACGUUUCUGUUCUAUAUACCUGACAACCAGCGACUGCGACACUGAGAACCUCCCCUCGCAGAUGAUGAGGGCAGCUCUGAGGGGCCUCGUGCUUUGCCCAAGGUCGCACGGCCAGGAAGUGGCUGGUCUGAACUGGAAUCAAAUGGUGUGCUUCUAGAGCCCAAAGCUGAGGUCACCCCCCGACUGCAGGGAGCUGCCACCACUGCCCGCCUCCCUGGAGGCCGUGGCGGUGAAGGGGGCUCCCCCUCCGACAGGCGGGCAGCAGAGGGAUCCUGGGCCAGCAGCUGUGAGGCCCUUCAUUCACUCGUCCACAGACAUUAGCUGAGCUCCUACUAUAAGCCAGGCUGGUGCCAGGGACUGGGGAGCAGACAGUUGGCCGGGCAGAGCAUGGGCGUGAGGUGCUGGGAGAUGCUGGGGUAAGGAGG
Manis pentadactyla (Chinese pangolin) is the source of this 2771-nucleotide long non-coding RNA. RefSeq lists it as uncharacterized. NCBI's taxonomy places the organism in Eukaryota, Metazoa, Chordata, Mammalia, Pholidota, Manidae. The record is from RefSeq and is a predicted model, not a curated record. The transcript is spliced from 3 exons.